Molecule: long non-coding RNA, 3016 nt
Filed under: Salmo salar (Atlantic salmon)
Lineage: Eukaryota; Metazoa; Chordata; Actinopteri; Salmoniformes; Salmonidae
Description: lncRNA (ENSSSAG00000082558.1)
Source: RNAcentral
CAAAAAGCAUCUUGCUUCAAUCAGUUUAUUCCAGUUCUGAAUAAAAAUUAUUAGUUGUAUUUUAACAGCAACAGUUCCAACCUAGACUUGUUUUCAACAAUAAUUUAUACAGUAAAAUGUACAGGAGACCUGAUCAUUUUUCAUCUUCAUCUGUAGUUUCUUAGGGUCGCACUAUCAGUAGCUAGUUAGCUUGCUUUGGCAAAUGUUAGCUAUUAGCUGUGUAACGUUAGAAGGCAAUUGGAUUGUUUGAAAGAGAAACUCACAUCUAACGUUACUACCAUGAGAGAUAGUACUCCCUUAUUUCUGCUCAUCAUCACCUGUUAUAAAAUGACAACAAUGCCUUGCUAGUUGACUUACUCUUCCACGUUGAAGCACUGUUUCCUGAAGCAUUCUGCCCAGUUCUGAAAGAACUCCCUGGGUUUACCGUCAUGUUGUGCCUGGAUGUUUGGUCAGGACGUGUCGUUUUAUUAAUUUGUUCGUUUUGAGAGACUCAUUACUAAGCACUUCCCCACACAAAACACAUUGUGGGGACUCCUUGUUUUUUCUGAGUUUGUAUGAAAGAGACAAAAAGUCAUCACUGUAAUUGCGUUUCAUGACGAUUGAGCUCAGUCAGAACUUGUGGCUAGCAUGUAUCCAUUUCAUGAUGGCGAGUAGGAAUGACAAUUCAGCGACUUGAACGACAGCGCUGCAGCGUGUGGGUCGCGGAGUGAUCUUCAACAAAACUGCAGAAAAAAAGAUCCAGUAAACCGCGACGCACACGGGCAUCUACCUCUCGCGCAGCUGCCAAACAGCAGAGAGCGCUGAUAAGCAGAGAGCGCACCGAACCGACAGCGCAGUUGCACUUGGCCAAAUCAAUUCCGCUCCUCUCCCCCUUCCCUCCCUGCCUCCACUCUCCUUUCUCCCCCAUACCCAUAACCCUCUACCCCAGAUUCCCCAAUUGGACUUGGUGAUCCUGCCUUGGGUGGGAAGCUGAUGGCAGGAAUGCAUGUUGACCACAGUCCCCGGAGAUGCUUCCAACAGGACCACGGGCGCCUGGUCAUCCCCAGCAGCCCGGCCCAGCUGGGUGCCCUGGUCAAUGGCACGGCUAAGGACCAGCACCGGCAGGAGCAGGCCCUCCACAACCUCCGCAAGACCAUGGAGGACAAGGAGCGGCAGCUGGACGAGAAGGAGGCAGUGGACGUGUGAGCGCCAGGCCCUAAAAGCGGGCCAUGAGGCCAGGGUGUGGGCCCAGGAGGAGAAGCUCCUGGCCCUGCGUGUGGAGAUGGCUGCCCUGCGUGACUAGGUGGACAAGUACAAACGCCCCACCUCCUCUUCCAGGCCUCCCUCCACCACCUUCACUCAACCCCCACCUCAACCCCACCCACCUCAGUAUCCGCUCCUUGGUCUCUGGGCCCUGCAACUGGCUGAGGUUCUAUACAGUGUUUGGAUCCUACGGCCACUUCAAAGCUCUACUCCGGGGCAGAGAGGACAGAGCUGUUUGACUGAAGAGAGGGAGGGAGGACACAGCUGGGGACGAUGGUGGAGGAGAGGACAAUGAACAGCCUCAAUUUGUCGGAGCAUGGAGUCUACAAGGUGUCGAAAGCGCUUCACAGGGAUGCUGGCCCAUGUUGACUGGAUGUCCUUUGGGUGGUGGGCCAUUCUUGAUACACACGGGAAACUGAUGAGCGUGAAAAACCCAGCAGCGUUGCAGUUCUUGACACAAACCGGUGCGCCUGGCACCUACUACCAUACCCCGUUCAAAGAACCCUCCCUUCAUCAUCCAGGCCUUCCGCUUCAGGGUGUCAGAGUCCACCGUGUCCCACGUCUGGAGCACCUGGAUGGAGCUGCUGCAGAGACGGAUGAGACAGGGAGAGGGUUGAAAAGGGAGUAUGCGGUGGGGAGAGUAGGGAGGGUAACCUCUUGGUGGAAGGAGGGGGGCAUAGAGAGGUAGAGGUGUGGAGAGAGUGGGGCCAAAAAUAAAUACAAAAUACAAAGAAAGUUUGAAUGAAACCUAGGUAACAUCAGAUUACAUACUGUACCUGCCCCAUAGCAUGACCUUGACUCUUAUCAGUGAAUAAUAAUUAGAAUGUCGGUAGAAUCGUGAGAUAAUGCUGGUUUUAGGUUGUAUUUUGUAGUCCACCAAAACAAAGCCAUUGUUUUGACUACUCAGGAUCUCAGACUUAACGAACCACGUGAUUGUUAGAGAUAACUGUUAUCGGUAGGAGUUUUAUAUUUCCUGUGCUUUUCACCUAUACUGUUAUUGUGACCUAUAAGCCUUGAGCACCCUCAUUCCCUCUCCCCACCAGAUCCCCAGCCAGCGUUACAUCACUCUUUCCAGCCCCACCUAGCCAACGGCUCUAGGUUCUCGAGUGUGCCGACACCCUCUCCGACGUCCACUCCAGCCUCCGCAAGCGAGGGGACACACCCAACCCCUCCUACCAGGCCCUACCACUACCUCUGCAGCGAACGUGUCUGCUGUCUGAUGGACAAGGGGAUGGCGUUCCAUUACCUGAGGGUGGUGCACCCUGCCCGGAUCGGUGUGCUGCUUCCUGGCCUGCCUCCUGCACCGUCCUCAGGGAAUCAAAUAGGUCCAAGACCAAGGGCCUCUGUGACAACUAUCUCUGCGAGCAGGCCCAGACUAACUACCUCCACGAGGAGGCCCAAGCUAACCACCUACAUGUGAGGAGGCCCAGACUUCUAUCUCCACAUGGAGACCUUUGUCAACAACCUCCUUGAGGAGAACCAUGUUGACCUCGUCGAGGAGGCCCCUGUUUACAACUUCAGUGAGAAAGCCUGUCUACUACCUCUGCGAGGAGGCCCAUGUCAACAACGUUCUACAUUGGGGAGUAGUUUGGGACUCUUGAUUGAGAAAGGACAACUAAAAGUUGCAUGGGCCUCCUGAAAGAUGUUUGAGUUAUUUUUAUUGUUUAUCUUUUCUGAAUUGUGUACAAUGAAUUGUUUAUUACUACUGUUAAGACAAAAUGGAAUUGACUUAAUAACAAGACACCUUGUUCCAAAGUUCAUAAUAAAACUUUUU